Molecule: long non-coding RNA, 1594 nt
Filed under: Papio anubis (olive baboon)
Lineage: Eukaryota; Metazoa; Chordata; Mammalia; Primates; Cercopithecidae
Description: lncRNA (ENSPANG00000043016.1)
Source: RNAcentral
CUAAAUUGUAAAUACAUUGAAAAUCUUUCGGUGUCUCAUAUACUAUCACUGCCCUCAGGAUCUCUAAAACCAGUGUUUCCUCUUCCUGAAAUAUACCUCACUUCCCACAACCCAGGUCAUCCUAUUUCUCUUUUAGUUCUCAGCAAGGGAUCAUUGCCUUUAUAGACGCCUCUCUAAUCCCCAUAAAUGUAUUUGGUCCUCCCUACUUGGAUUUCCCCUGGUGUAGCAAAUAUCACAAUUUAUUGCAAAUACUUUUUUAAAAAAAUAAAUCCUACCAGAGGAUCAUCAAUACAUGAUCAGGUACUAAAUUAUUAUUGUAUCCUCAGCAACUAAUACUAUGCCUGAGAGAGUGGAAACCUGAAAAACUUUUGCUGGAUGAAUGAAAAGACUUAUGAAAGUUGUCUUUGCAGUGAGGUGAAGUGUUCCAGGGCACUGGUGGUGGUGAGAAUCUCUAAAUCUCUGAGAUCUCUAUGUGGGAGCUUUAUUGGAGAGUGUUCUUAGGACCUACACGUGUGAGAAAACAGGAUUUGGCAGAAAGAAAAGUUGAACUGCAUUUACAGCAGUAGCUUCAGCUGAAUCCAUGGACUGCUGAAUGUGGGAUGGACCUGGCAGUUGUUCAAACAAAAGCAAGAGAACUGGAGCUUUGUAUCUCCAUAUCUACAAUACAGUGGAUUGAGUAAAGCCUUGAACCAGGAAGCUCAUUUCUGCAAAGUGCAAUUCAUAGAGCAGGCUCAGGUAGGAGCUCCCAGCCUCCAGCAUACCAAGAAGCUGGGAGAUGGGAACCUUGAACCGGAAUAGGGACCUGGGCCAUGCAAAGAUGCGACUACAUGUCCAUGUGAAGGUUCAGCAUUCUUCAGUGACAUCGGGAUUAUGUCAUAGGAAAAAGGUAAUUUUUUUGAACUUGUUUUACCAGUUUCCACAUCUUUCUGUUAAGAAAUCUUUUUCACAGUUUAGAGCACAAUUUUCUCCAUAAAUUAUUUAAAAACUUUUUUUAUCAUUUAAGCUGAAUUUCUCACAGAUGGUGAUAAAAUAACCCUUUAAAAAUCUCUCUUCUAAAAGGGAAUACAAGAACACUGUACCAGUGGAAUGGUUUCUAUUUUAUUCAGCUUUCAUCUCCUUCUGCUACUCAACUCUCAAUCUGGCCUUUGCAUGGAGAACAGAGGAUGGAAAAUAUAGUACCAGGAAAAUAAAGGGUAUUGAUCAAAUUUUAUAUCUGAUCAAGUCAUAAAUUAUAGAUCAAACAUUUAAGUUUUUACAAAAAUGAGAAGCAGAUUUCAGUAAGACUUGAACAAUAUAUUUGUUUAACAUUACUUACAGUGAUUAAAAUCUAGCAGUGUAUCAUAAGGGUUGAGAAUAAGUAUCUGACAGACUUGUUUAACUCCUGGCUUUGUUACUAAUUUUGUGACUUUGGGCAAAUACCUCUCUUAGAAUUUUCAACUGUAAAGGGGAAAAUAAUAGUACCUAUUUUAUCAGGUUGUUUCAGAAUUAAAUGUGGUGAUAUAUACAGAAACAAACUGUAAACUACUGAAAGCUACUGUAUUUAAAAAAAAGGACCUAGAAAAGAAUCCUGUUCUCUAGACCAGUUAUAAUUACC